GCUCGGUUCGUCUAGCUGGUCCAGGACGCAAGAUUCUCAUUCUUGAAAUCAUGGGUUCGAAUCCCAUACCGAGUA
RNAcentral lists this transfer RNA (75 nucleotides) under Tidjanibacter sp. Its description in RNAcentral is "tRNA-Glu". It matches the Rfam family "tRNA". From Rfam's summary of the family: Transfer RNA (tRNA) molecules are approximately 80 nucleotides in length. Their secondary structure includes four short double-helical elements and three loops (D, anti-codon, and T loops). Further hydrogen bonds mediate the characteristic L-shaped molecular structure. tRNAs have two regions of fundamental functional importance: the anti-codon, which is responsible for specific mRNA codon recognition, and the 3' end, to which the tRNAs corresponding amino acid is attached (by aminoacyl-tRNA synthetases). tRNAs cope with the degeneracy of the genetic code in two manners: having more than one tRNA (with a specific anti-codon) for a particular amino acid; and 'wobble' base-pairing, i.e. permitting non-standard base-pairing at the 3rd anti-codon position. Lineage: Bacteria; Pseudomonadati; Bacteroidota; Bacteroidia; Bacteroidales; Rikenellaceae. The record is from RNAcentral.